UACGUAGGGCGCGAGCGUUGUCCGGAUUUAUUGGGCGUAAAGAGCUCGUAGGCGGCUUGUCGCGUCGACUGUGAAAUCCCGCGGCUCAACCCCGAGCCUGCAGUCGAUACGGGCAGACUAGAGUGCUGUAGGGGAGACUGGAAUUCCUGGUGUAGCGGUGAAAUGCGCAGAUAUCAGGAGGAACACCGGUGGCGAAGGCGGGUCUCUGGGCAGUAACUGACGCUGAGGAGCGAAAGCGUGGGGAGCGAACAGG
Molecule: ribosomal RNA, 253 nt
Filed under: uncultured bacterium
Lineage: Bacteria
Description: partial 16S ribosomal RNA
Rfam family: Bacterial small subunit ribosomal RNA
Source: RNAcentral